Molecule: ribosomal RNA, 482 nt
Filed under: uncultured bacterium
Lineage: Bacteria
Description: partial 16S ribosomal RNA
Rfam family: Bacterial small subunit ribosomal RNA
Source: RNAcentral
GACGAACGCUGGCGGCGUGCUUAACACAUGCAAGUCGAACGCUGAAGCUCAGCUUUUGUUGGGUGGAUGAGUGGCGAACGGGUGAGUAACACGUGAGUAACCUGCCUCCUUCUUUGGGAUAACGCCCGGAAACGGGUGCUAAUACUGGAUAUUCACUGGUCUUCGCAUGGGGGUUGGUGGAAAGGGUUUUUCUGGUGGGGGAUGGGCUCGCGGCCUAUCAGCUUGUUGGUGGGGUGAUGGCCUACCAAGGCUUUGACGGGUAGCCGGCCUGAGAGGGUGACCGGUCACAUUGGGACUGCGAUACGGCCCAGACUCCUACGGGAGGCAGCAGUGGGGAAUAUUGCACAAUGGGCGCAAGCCUGAUGCAGCGACGCCGCGUGAGGGAUGGAGGCCUUCGGGUUGUGAACCUCUUUCGCUCAUGGUCAAGCCGCAACAAUGGUUGUGGUGAGGGUAGUGGGUAAAGAAGCGCCGGCUAACUACGU